GGGGUAGUACCGGUUUCGACGGGGGCUUUGAAUCCGGAUAAGCCAUUCAUGUACCGGACCAUGUUAAAAGCCGGAAAACUUAAAUAUAAACGCUAACGAUAAUUUAGCUUUUGCUGCGUAAUCUACGCGGCGGUCCCGCCCUUGACCCCCGCUUCAAGGGACCGGGGCCUCGACUUUGCGGGAUCCUCUUUACGCUAAGCUUUGAUCGUAAAGAACAUUCAUGAAGCUACCAAAACGUCCCGGCCUGCUUACCGGCCUGGGACUGAGGGAAGAAACAUAGAUAAGCUAUGAUGGUAGAAAGUCUGGUGGAUGGGUUUUCGGACAGGGGUUCGCCUCCCUUCUACUCCA
Molecule: transfer-messenger RNA, 348 nt
Filed under: bovine gut metagenome
Rfam family: transfer-messenger RNA
About the family: Bacterial tmRNA, also known as 10Sa RNA or SsrA, is named for its dual tRNA and mRNA-like properties.
Source: RNAcentral